CCUACGGGAGGCUGCAGUGAGGAAUAUUGGUCAAUGGGCGUAAGCCUGAACCAGCCAAGUCGCGUGAGGGAUGAAGGUCCUAUGGAUUGUAAACCUCUUUUAUCAGGGAGCAAAGUGCGCGACGCGUGGCGUUCCGUAUGUACCCCAUGAAAAAGGAUCGGCUAACUCCGUGCCAGCAGCCGCGGUAAUACGGAGGAUCCGAGCGUUAUCCGGAUUUAUUGGGGUUAAAGGGUGCGUAGGCGGCACUGUAAGUCAGCGGUGAAAGUUUGGGGGUCAACCAUCGAAUUGCCGUUGAAACUGGGGGGCUUGAGUGUGUGUGAGGUAGGCGGAAUGCGUGGUGUAGCGGUGAAAUGCAUAGAUAUCACGCAGAACCCCGAUUGCGAAGGCAGCCUACC
This 395-nucleotide ribosomal RNA is filed under the name uncultured bacterium. RNAcentral's name for it is "partial 16S ribosomal RNA". It matches the Rfam family "Bacterial small subunit ribosomal RNA", at positions 338 to 730 of the family's 1533-position model. The record is from RNAcentral.